RNAcentral lists this ribosomal RNA (364 nucleotides) under Anampses caeruleopunctatus (bluespotted wrasse). Its description in RNAcentral is "partial 12S ribosomal RNA". It matches the Rfam family "Bacterial small subunit ribosomal RNA", at positions 970 to 1527 of the family's 1533-position model. Lineage: Eukaryota; Metazoa; Chordata; Actinopteri; Labriformes; Labridae. The record is from RNAcentral.
CUCACCUCUCCUUGCCUAGUCCGCCUAUAUACCGCCGUCGUCAGCUUACCCUGUGAAGAGAUAGAAGUAAGCACAACCGGCACAGCCCAAAACGUCAGGUCGAGGUGUAGCGUAUGGAGAGGGAAGAAAUGGGCUACAUUCGAUAGCAAUAUUGAAUACGGAUAAUGUUUUGAAAGAGACAUUUGAAGGAGGAUUUAGUAGUAAGCAGGGAAUAGAGAGCCCCGCUGAAACCGGCCCUGAAGCGCGCACACACCGCCCGUCACUCUCCCCGAGCUAACAUAAACCAAUUACUAAUAAACAAAAACUGUAAAGGGGAGGCAAGUCGUAACAUGGUAAGUGUACCGGAAGGUGCACUUGGAAUAAC